RNAcentral lists this unclassified non-coding RNA (400 nucleotides) under soil metagenome. RNAcentral's name for it is "partial contains 5.8S ribosomal RNA, internal transcribed spacer 2, and large subunit ribosomal RNA". The stretch from base 1 to 122 matches the Rfam family "5.8S ribosomal RNA", at positions 35 to 154 of the family's 154-position model. The record is from RNAcentral.
GAUGAAGAACGCAGCGAAAUGCGAUACUUGGUGUGAAUUGCAGAAUCCCGUGAACCAUCGAGUCUUUGAACGCAAGUUGCGCCUCAAGCCAUUAAGUUGAGGGCACGUCUGCCUGGGCGUCACAUAUCGUUGCCUGAUGCCAGUUUCCUCGUGAUGGGUGACUGUGCAGGGCGAAUGAUGGCUUCCCGUGAGCAUUGUUGCCUCAUGGUUGGUUGAAAAUUGAGUCCUUGGUAGGGAGCGCCGUGAUAGAUGGUGGUUGAGUGACGAACGAGACCCAAUCAUGUGAGACCCCUACCGAAUUUGGCCUUCAUGACCCACAUGCGUCUUUGGAACGCUCAUGACGAGACCUCAGGUCAGGCGGGGCUACCCGCUGAGUUUAAGCAUAUCAAUAAGCGGAGGA